AUUGAACGCUGGCGGCAUGCUUUACACAUGCAAGUCGAACGGCAGCGCGGGGCAACCUGGCGGCGAGUGGCGAACGGGUGAGUAAUAUAUCGGAACGUACCCAGAAGUGGGGGAUAACGUAGCGAAAGUUACGCUAAUACCGCAUACGAUCUACGGAUGAAAGUAGGGGACCGCAAGGCCUUAUGCUUUUGGAGCGGCCGAUAUCUGAUUAGCUAGUUGGUGAGGUAAAGGCUCACCAAGGCGACGAUCAGUAGCUGGUCUGAGAGGACGACCAGCCACACUGGAACUGAGACACGGUCCAGACUCCUACGGGAGGCAGCAGUGGGGAAUUUUGGACAAUGGGCGCAAGCCUGAUCCAGCAAUGCCGCGUGAGUGAAGAAGGCCUUCGGGUUGUAAAGCUCUUUUGUCAGGGAAGAAACGGUAGAGGCUAAUAUCCUUUGCUAAUGACGGUACCAGAAGAAUAAGCACCGGCUAACUACGUG
RNAcentral lists this ribosomal RNA (482 nucleotides) under uncultured bacterium. RNAcentral's name for it is "partial 16S ribosomal RNA". It matches the Rfam family "Bacterial small subunit ribosomal RNA", at positions 30 to 507 of the family's 1533-position model. The record is from RNAcentral.